GACGAACGCUGGCGGCGUGCCUAACACAUGCAAGUCGAACGGAGAUACUUUUGAGGAGACUUCGGUCAACGAGACUGUAUCUUAGUGGCGGACGGGUGAGUAACGCGUGAGCAAUCUGCCUUUCAGAGGGGGAUAACAUUCUGAAAAGAAUGCUAAUACCGCAUAACGUAUCGAGAUGGCAUCUUCUUGAUACCAAAGGAGCAAUCCGCUGAAAGAUGAGCUCGCGUCUGAUUAGAUAGUUGGUGGGGUAACGGCCUACCAAGUCGACGAUCAGUAGCCGGACUGAGAGGUUGAACGGCCACAUUGGGACUGAGACACGGCCCAGACUCCUACGGGAGCAGCAGUGGGAAUAUUGCACAAUGGGCGCAAGCCUGAUGCAGCAACGCCGCGUGAGGGAAGACGGGUCUUCGGAUUGUAAACCUCUGUCCUUGGUGAAGAACAAUGACGGUAGCCUUGGAGGAAGCCACGGCUAACUACGU
RNAcentral lists this ribosomal RNA (479 nucleotides) under uncultured bacterium. RNAcentral's name for it is "bacterial SSU rRNA". It matches the Rfam family "Bacterial small subunit ribosomal RNA", at positions 28 to 506 of the family's 1533-position model. The record is from RNAcentral.